UUAGGGGGGGGGAGCUGAGGGACGGCCUUGGCCCGGCCCACGCGCGCGUGCGUGUGAGUGCGGGCUUUGGGUUUUUGUGUGUGUGUGGCGGCUGACAUGAAACCCCGGGAGGCGAGAGGAGCUGGAAGAGCAUGGAGCGGAAGGAAGAGCCCACCGGAGCCACUGCCGCGCUCGCUGACGGUGACGAAAAGCGGCGGCGCGGAGGCCCGACGGGGCGGGCGGGCGCGCGGCGAAGGUCAGCGCAGCGCGGGUGUGGGGCGCAGUGACCGCACGGCGACUGCCGCACUGGCAGACUACCUAGAGAUGUGGUACUUAUACAGCCUCUUGGAAGGCAGUCCGUCAACACGUAAUCAGUUGAGCUUGAUACCACACAGUGGCAAGUUGGUGGUGCACUUGUCCUAAGACACACUGCCUCACCCACUUCUUUCUCUCACUUGUGUUUCUCUGGGAUUGGACUCCAUGACAAGGUAAGGGAACAGAAGACAUUGCCAGGCCAUGGUUGCUGGAGAAUCUAUGCUAAGACAGUGACCUAAUUAUAAACAAUCGUCCCUGAAGGGUUUGUUUGAAACAAGUUUAUUUUAUAAAUGUCAUAGUACAUAAUAUAAAUACUGUUAUGAUUGGCUAUAUAUGGGGGUCAUUUUAGAGUACCAGGAUGUAAAGUGGACAAAUAGAAUUUAAAUGAUCUCUACAAUAUCCCUUCUAAUUAGAAGAUGUGAUUGAAAUAUCAUUUGUUUACAUACAAUUAUUUCCAAGUUAGACAUUGAGGUUUUUGAUACACUUAAUUAAAAUGGACAUUUAAAUUAUAACUUUGAACAGUAUCCGCUUAAUCUUUGAGGAUGACCUUGGGGUAAUAGCUAGCUGGUAGAAUUUUGCCUAUUUUUGAAGUAAACAUUCCCUAAAUGUCUGUAAAACUUGUUACGAAUUAAAGACAUUAAAAUUUAUUAAUUCUAUGGUUUUACAAAAAUGUACGUUUUACAUAUACUUGUGAAAAUAUAAAUUUAUAGAAUAAGAGUACUAUUUUCUAUAAAAUAGAAAACUUCUGUUUAAAUGCAAAAAUGUAAAUGAUUUGGGCAGAAGAUAACUCCUAUCUGUCAGAGAAAAUAUAAUUCAAAUAAAAACAUGUAUAGGCCGGCA
This 1134-nucleotide long non-coding RNA is filed under the name Oryctolagus cuniculus (rabbit). Its description in RNAcentral is "lncRNA (ENSOCUG00000032057.1)". Lineage: Eukaryota; Metazoa; Chordata; Mammalia; Lagomorpha; Leporidae. The record is from RNAcentral.